GAACACAUACACAAGCAGAACAAAAGUAAAAAGGGAAAUAAAAUGAACCUGGCACGAAACCAUGUUGUAUGAUAAAAGGGAGUUAGCUUGUUUAGGCCUUGCCAGACUCCUCGCAGCCUGGUGGCUUGAAGGCGAUGAAGCUGACGCACUGCACCUGACGCAUGUUGUCGAAUCCGAUGAUGCGGACAUAGGCGUCAGGGUACUCCUUCUUGACCUCCUCCACUUCGUUUAACACCUGUGUGGCGUCGGUGCACCCAAACAUAGGUAGCUUCCACAUUGUCCAGUAUCGGCCAUCGUAAUACCCUGGAGAGGCAUUGUGCUCACGGAAGAUGAAUCCAACCUUGCUGAACUCGAGACAAGGCACCCACUUGGAGCGGAUCAGGUAGUCGACCUGCUUCAGGAGUGCCUCCGUGGAGAGCGGUGGCAAGUAAGACAAAGUCUCGAACUUCUUGAUGCCUUCAAUCGGCCAGACCUGAAUUGUUCACAGAAUUUAGUUUGUCCUCCGUUAGUCAGCUCGAUGGAAUGGGCUGGGAAGUAAAAUCUUUUGUCUUCGGUCUAGUGACCAUACCUGCAUGCACCGGAUUCUUCCGCCGUUGCUGACGCUGCCGAGGCCAGCCGCGUUGCCGGAGAGGCGGCUGACUGGGAGACCAGCUGUGGACUUGAGUCCCUGGAAGGGUGCUACGGCGGUGGCUGCCGACGACAUGACAGUGGGAGCCAUCGUUGAUAGCUAAUAGGAGAGGCAGGCUUUACUUGAGACUGUGCGGUGGGUCGGCGACGAUGGCUUGUAUAAACCGUAGGCUCCCACCCAUUCCAUUAUCUGCACAAGAUCUGGGAGGAGUGGCUGCUGUUAGCCUCGGAGAUUAUCCCCGGCUACGGUGCCAUCCUGUAGAUCGGAUCAAGCGCCAUGUGGCAACGUGCCUUAUCCCGUGGACCUACGUUCUACCCUGUCCAUGCGUGGCUGAUCCUUUGCAAAUGAGAAUGUACUUUUUUUCGCGAUAUUCACCACACAUCUGAUAUAAUGGACAAUAACCAUAUGACCCUAUGUGGUAUACUUAGGAGACAUCCCACACGAUUGACACAAUCGGACGCAGCUACUUCAUGUCACACGUCUAACAAUUACUCCCUCCGCUCUUUAAUAUAAGUCUUUUUAGAGAUUUUUCUAGAAGACUACAUAUGAAUGUAUAUAGAUAUAUUUUAAAAUGUAUAUUUACUCAUUUUACUUUAUAAGUAGUCACUUAAUGAAAUCACUAAAAUACUUAUAUUUAGGAAAUGAGGGAAUACUCAUUCCCAUCCCUUUUGUAUGCCACGGAGCAAUUUCGCCUUGACAUUUCUUGGUGACAACUUUAGUUACUUGAGGAUGGUAACUUUAGUUGUAAAACAUCACAACUUCUCUGUUUUAAUUAAUUAUAGUUGUCAUGCUUAAUUAACGAUAGUUACCACGUGUGGCCAAAUUAUAAUUGUCAUGUAUGAUCAACCAUGGUUGUCAUGUGUGAUUAACUAGCUAUCACGUGUAGUUCAACCAUAAUUGUCAUGUAUGGUCAAUCAUAUUUGCAAUAUGUGAUUAGCCAGUUGCCACAUAUGCACAACUGUAGUUGUCAUCUAUCACAAUACGAGCAUCGUAUGGGUGAAGAGUAGUUCACCCGCACAACGUGGACUAGAUGGUGUCUGUGUAAGCGAGUACCGAUUCACCUGCACGACGAAGCUAUCAAUCACGCGUGCAAGGCCGUUUGGAAAAGCGCUCUAACCACUUACACACCACAAUAUGCCUACGUGUGAAAUUCUAAUAGACCCCUGCAAGAUUCGUGCAAUCGAGAACCAACGAUAAUAAAUGCGUAUGGACCAAGUAUUGAAAUACCACACGUAUGGAUAUUAUUAUUUGUUUUUUAUGUCAGUAAAUAAGGAUGCUCGUAUACAAGGCAUACACACACACCAAUGAGAAUUUCUAAAUAUAUUUUUAUCUAUAAUAUUAUUUUUUAGGGAUGUAAUGACUCCUUAUUCAAAUAAUUCAUAGCAAUCGUUACAUGAUCAUUUGCUUGAAAGAAACCAAACAUGUCUACCUAAGUUUAGAGAAAGUAAAAAAAUUUGGCUAAACUAUAUGCUUCAUUAUUCUUGUCUAACUUUCAUGUACUUUCAACAAAUUAUGUUGCUCUAGCCUUGACCUCGUUUAUAAUAGCAACAUAUCUUUCUCCUUCAAUCAUUUUGAGGUCCUUAUCACAGUGGCACAAUGAGAUGAAAUAAUAAAUUGUGAUGCUUGGAGAUCAUGUGUGAGCACCAUCACCUCGCGACAACAAGUGUUUUUUGAAUUGGUGCACUAGUGAUUCCCGGGAAAGUAAUGGAUUAAGAUCUCACUUAGUUACCAUGUUCGUAGCGACAAACUACCACUGUUGAAACUCGAUCGCUGUUUUUAGAGAACCAGAUGGGGGUCUAAUCCAAGGUUCCUAACAAAACUUGGACUCGCGCACCUACUCUAUUGUCUUUUUUUUGAAGAGAUGGUAUCUAGCUGUGAAAAGAACUUCGUAAUUAACAAGCGGGUUGAUCAAGGUGAUUGGAAUUCUUGUUCUUGCCUUUCAUCUCGUGGACCAUACUGCCCACAAGGUGAUUACUAUCUCCACAUAGUGCUCAUGUGAUAAUGAGUCUAGCAUAGCCAAGAGACACAUUUUUGCAUUUGGUAUCCUUGUUUCCAUCAAGUGUUGGAGCAUCUCCUCAAUGGCCCCAAGCACAUCUUGUAUAAUGCCCAAUAUGCGAUCCUAUCCUUGUUUUUUUUGGUACGAAGGCCUCGACGGGGGUAGAAUCUCAUCUCGUCGUUUUACAAGAAUGGAUAUCGUUACAAGUACAUGUACAGAAGGGACGAGUAUAUGGAAUUGGCUUACAAUCGCCACAAGCUACAUCAUGAGAAUCUCAAUACAACAAUACAUCCAAUCAUCAUGUAGAAGAGCAGGGCAUGUCUACGGAUGAAAACAAACGAUAAAAGAACGACGUCCAUCCUUUCUAUCCCAAGCUACUGGCCUGAAACCCAUCCUAUGAUCGAUGAAGAAGAAGAAGAAACUCGAAAUAGAACAAUCAUCGCGCUCACGUUGAAGUAUCGCUUUACCGGUACCUGCAACUAUUGUUUUAGUAAUCUGUGAGUCACAUGGACUCAGCAAUCUCAUCUUUAAAGGUAUCAAGACUAGCAAAGCUUAAUGGGUGAGGUAUGGUUAUGUGGUUAGGUUGCAACAAGGAAAUAAGCAUUUAUAUGAGUGGCUAACUUACGAGUAGAAGAAAUAAGAGAAGAGAUAAUCUACGCAUAACGAACGUGAACUAAUAAUGAUCUCAAAGUGAUUCUGAACACCUACUUACGUCAAACAUAAACCAACCGUGUUCUCUUUAAUAUGCAUAACUCACGAGAAGAGACAUUCACGGUUACGCACACAGUUGGCAAGUUUUAAGUUUACUUCAAGUUGUCUAGAACCAGAUGUUAAACAAAGUUUCCAAGUUGCCAGAUAACCACGGGCACGACUUUCCAAGGGAUAUAACCCUCGAGGGCUUCUCCAACUAGUCCAUCACAAACUACCACAAGCUGCGUCGGAAACCUAGACUACGGAAAAACCGUGAUCUCCUCGGGUUCCUGGUGGAAAAACUCAAGUUCGAGAUAGCCCAAAUUAUCCUCGGAAUCCCUUGUAGAAGACAUUCGAGAAAGGUCAAAGAAAUCCACCAAGGCCGCCCGACGAGUCUACGAUGCCGAUAGGAGCCGCGUAUCUCGUUCUCCGGACACGAUGGAUGAGCACUACGUACGGUGGCCGGAUAGACAUCCCCCGAGUUCGGCCCAGCUAGUGGCUCUAGUUUGGACCAACACUCAUGAGAAGCACUGGCCCGGGGGUUGAUUAAUUAUCCACAGGGUCGUGAAAGUCCCUAUGCAAUUUUAUUAGGUUAUUAGGCAAAAUGUAGUACCAAUGCUGGGCCUUGCCAGAUGAGUUUUAUCCCAAAAUGAAAAUCUAGGGGGUCUCCAUAAGAACCCCAAGCAUGUUAGGAGCGCUCAAUUAUGGAACAUAACACCGGUAGCCGAAACUAAGGCAGCAAAAGCGGAACAAAACACCCAACCAAAAGACUAAGCCUUCCGCCUUCUACCAAGUAUAUAGGUGCAUUAAAUUAAAUAACAAUAAUAUUAUGAUAUAACAAGGAACCCAUGUUUUUUUCAUGGAAGCAAUUGUACCUGCAACUAGCAAUGCUAUCAAAAGGCUGAGUAAGCCGUAACAUAGCCAACCAGUGGUUUGCUUGGUUGAGGAAUGGUUAGAGGGUUUUCAUGACAAAGUUUGGAGGAUGACAUUUAAGUGGUAGGCAGCGAGACAUAGCGAAAUAAACGAUAUAACUAGCAUGGAAAUUAUAGUAAUUGUAUCUAGGGAAGUGGUCAUCUUGCCUGUGAUCCCGCUUGGAAGAAGAACGAAUCCGUGAAGCAGGUGAAGCAAUGUAGCCGAACGAAUCCUCACAUUCCAAAGCUGUUUAGAACUCUAUCGAGGAAAAAACAAUCCGGAACAACAAUCAACACACGAUAACACCACACAUAUUCAUGACAAGAUGCACAAUAAAAUAUGAUGCAUGGCAAUUUCAAUUUAUGCAAGCAUGGAAAAGCACAACAAAUAAUACUACACAUUAAAUGAAGCUCAAUAUGCAACAAGUUGCAUAUUGAAAAACUCCAUACUUGAAUUAUUUAGUUCACUCUCAUUUAGGUACACGACAAUAUUAAAUGUUGUUAAACAUGGCAAGAGGUGAAGCAUAAAUAAACUACACUAUCUAGGCAUUUUAAAUGAGCUCAGAAACAACAUAUAGCAUCUCCGAAAUGACCCCAUGUGUUAAUUUUGAAAUCUGUCUAGAUCUGAACUAAGCAUGUUUUAAGUUUAUUAAACAGCAAAAUAAAGUGGACUACGUGACUCUACAUGUCAUUCUAGUCAAUUUACAUAUAUAGAUCAUUUGAAAUGGAGCUACGGUCUAAAAGAUAUGAUCAUCACACGAUAAUAUGAUAUUGAUGCAAAAUGCAUGCAAAUGACAUCCACAACAUGUUAAACGUGGAUGCGACAGUAUAUUAUGGAACUACCAAAAUUCUAAGCAAGUUUAAAUUAGGCCUGAAUAACGAACAACAAUUCCGGAAAGUCCAUAUAUGUAAUUUCUAAAUUUGCUACAGAUCUGUGUAAACACAAUUUUAGAUUUGUUAAACAGGAAAAUAAAUGUUACCAUGUUAUUCUACAACUUUUUCUAGCCAAGUUACAUAUGUGGAACAUUUUAAUUGGAGCUACGGUUAAUUAGUUAUGACAUAAACCAUUUCCACAUGGCAUUUUUGCAAAUUAAUUAAAACAACAAGUUAAACAUGUUAGACACAUGUGAGAGUUGCAUAUUGUAAACCUACACAGAAUUCUAAGCAUUUUUUAUGUAUGAAGUUUUUAAAUCCGACGCACGAUUAUUUAGCUAUGAAUUAAUUCAUUUUAAUAUGACAUCCACGCAAAUUUAAUUAAACAACAAGUUUAAAUGUUUUGAACAUGUGUGAAAGGGACAUAUUAUCAAUCUACACAAAAUUCUAUACAUUUUACAUAUUUAAAAUAUUUUUAUCCGAUGCACGGUUAAUUUGUUCUUAACAUUUUAAAGUGAGAACAUAAUCUCUAAUUAUAACAUACACCGAAUAGUUAGCAUUAUCAGAGACGCAAAAAAACAACAACAUGCCGAAUCUGGCUACGGGCCAAAACAACCAGUGGGCACAGGAUAACUGUGCGAGACAGUAGGCGGGUUAUAUAUAGGGAUUGGGCUAUGGUGGGUUGGACCUUGUCCGUCCGGUCGUAAUUCGAUGACCACGAACGGAGGGAGGGGUUAGGUCGGUCUAGUGGGCUGUGUAGAUGGGCUAGGUUCGGAUGAGAGGGAAGUGGUGCAUCCCAUGACAAAAUUUUAAAAGGCAAAAACGCCCGAUAUUUAAACUGACGCCGGUGGCACUAAGGUCGAGCGUUUGGGUAUCAAACAAACUCCGAUUGCGACGAAAUUUGGCAGGCGGUCUACCUACAUUAAAAUAGAACCGCACGCCAUGUUUCAAACCAAUCUGAGAGAGUUUUGCAUACGAUUUAAAAAAUAAUAUUUUUAAUAAUGUCACGGGCGCGUGUGCGUAUGAUUGGCCUCGAAACGGUCAAUGACAAAAACGGACAGAACUGACAACUAAUAACGGAUGCAAGUUUUGAAAAAUGACGGGAAUGGAGUGCCGAUGCAAUGCGGAUGAUGCGAAUGAUGCGAUGAUGAAUGCAGAAACCAAACAAAUCACAUGACAACAAUGCAGUAAAAGGGGAAUCUUCUAGAACGUUGGUUCCGGGCUGUUACAUCUUGCCGAGUAGCGUUCCACCAAAGCAUGACACCAAGAAUCUUCAGAAUCACACACACGGAAGCAAUAUGUACCUGCCAUAUUUCCUUGCUCCAAAACAUCAAAGGCUUGGUUUGAGUGUUGGGCCAAACGUUCCGCAAAAUCCUUGAGUUUCAACAGAAUAGUAGUGCCCCAUAACUUCGUCCAUUGCUUAACCACCGAAACCAUAUCUGAUGAGGCCAUACCAUGAUACAACCAUCCAUCCUAGUGCAUCUUAGUGUUAAAAAUCGUGGUGGCGAUGUUCCUCUCAAAUGCCAAGGACAAAAAAUAGACAUAUAUUUUGUGCAUAAAUGAAUACCCAGAAUAGCACAUUCAUCCAUCGGUAAAAAGGAGGCCCAAACCAAACCCUUGCGCCAAGUCGCCGAUGUCCUAUCUAUUAAUUCAGGUACCAAGAAAACCCCAUGUUGUGUGGUGGUGAUUUUCCUCACUGUACUUUCUCCUGGAAUCAAAUUAUGAUUCCAAAUUUCAGUUGUGGAUCAAUCUCCUAUGUGGCGAAUAAGGCGAUGGAUCAUAAAAGUUGGACCUUCAACUACUGAUCUCCAAAUAUUUGAUGGGUGAACCCUAGGGUUGCAAAUAAUAUAGAUAUAUAAAAAAAUAUCGAUUUAAGCAAUUUUGCACUCAGGGUGUGUGGGUCCAUAAGAAUUCUCCAUGUCUAGCAAGCCAAAAGAGCCAAGCUAAAUAACUCCAAAUCUCUAAAUCCCAAACGUCAGAAAAAAGGACUAGAACUUCCGCGCCGCCGCUGCAAGUCGUUGUUCUAAAGAGAUCCCAUUCGGAGCCCUUUUUUGGCUUCCUGUGGGAGGGGAAAUCUUUAGGGGAGACCAUAUUCAUGAUCCCGGCGAUCUCUAUGAUGAGGGGGGAGUAGUUCACCCUGAGGGUUGAGGGUAUGUACUAGUAGUUAUGUGUGUGAUCUCUCUAUCUCGUGUUCUUGAUUUGGCACGAUCUUGAAGUACCACGAGCUUUGUUAAUAUAGUUGGAUCAUAUACUGUUCUUCCCUCUCUAUCUUCUAAUGAAUUGACUCUCUCCCUAUGAGAUUUCGUUAUGUGGGAUUAAACACUUGGGAUUUGAGAACACUAGAUGUACUUGUUGUAUGCGGUACCCCUGGUGACAAUGGGGUAUUAUAUUGCAUCACUUGAUAUAUGUUUUGGUAAUCAACUUGUGGAUUCCCGUGGUGACAUUGGGGUAAUGUAGGCACAUGGGUUGAUACAUGUUUUCAUCCUAAUUUCUCCUAUAGAUACUUUGGGGUAAUCUUUGAGGUUCUUUGUGUGGAUUUAAUAUUAUGAAUCUAAAAUUGUUUGGUGUUAUUUAGUAGGAAUGCUAGGGUUUUUUGUGAUACAUUAGGUAUUUCUCAAUAGAGUGAUGGAAAAGACAACUAUUUAGCACAAACUCUAGGGCUGCUUGUGACACAUAUAGGGAUGGAUCAAUAGAUUGAUCGGAAAGAUAAAUUUGAGGUGGUUCACUACCUACAACAAUUUCUUCUUAUGUUCACCUCUAAUGACCAGGAUUUUGGAGUGAUUCUUUGUGCAUGUUGAGGGAUGGUUAUAUGACUUAAUUAUGCUAGACCUAUUGAGAAAUUGCACUGGUGAAAGUAUGGACCCUUGUUUCCAUGUAUUGAUUUAACAUGUUGCAAGUUGUUUGUCACUUGCUACCUUGUUGUUCUUAUAUUUUUCGAUUGCAAAAAACUAUUUCUACCAUCCAUACUACACUUUUAUCACCAUCUCUUCUCCAAACUAGUGGACCUAUACAAUUUACCAUUGUAUUGGUUGUGUUGGGGACACACGAGAUUUCUUGUAUUUGAUUGCAGGGUUAUUUGAGAGAUACCAUCUUAAUCCUACACCUCCCAUGGAUUGAUAAACCUUAGGUGAUUGAUACGUAUCCAACAUAUCUAUAAUUUUUGGUUGUUCCAUGCUAUUUUAUUGCCAUUCAUGGAUACUUUAUAAGCAUUUAUAUGUUACUUUAUAUCAUUUUUGAAAACUAACCUAUUAACCCAGUGCCUAGUUCCAGUUGUUGUUUUCCGCCUCUUCUGUAUUUUUAGGAAGCAGUACCAAACUAAGUCCAAAUGCAAUGAAAUUUUUGACGUUUUUCUGAACAAAAAUAAGAUAUGGGAGCUUCAGAGGGAGACCAAAUGCCACACGGAGUGGUGCCAAGCCAACAGAGCGCACCUAAGACGGGUAGGCCAGCCCUAAUGGCUAGGUACCACCCCCUCGCGCCUCCUGACCUAACUGCACCUCGAUAAAUUUUCUAAAAUAGGUAAAACACCAUAGAGACACCCAAAAUAUUUUUCCACCACCGCUCGUCUUUGUUCUGCCGCGAACCCAUCUAGAUCACUGUUCCGGUGUCGUGUCGAAGGGUGGAUCAAUCACAGAGGGCCUCUAGAUCAACUGUGAUGCUCCCAUGGUGAUAUGUGAGUAGUUUACGACAGACCUACGGGUCCAUAGCGUAAUUAUAUAUAUAUAUAUAUAUAUAGAUAGAUAGAUAGAGAGAGAGAGACACACACACACACAUAAACACUAUUCUCAUCCCAGGUUGAGAAUAACUAUUCUCAUCCAGACUGACUCGUCCGAGCAGUAGCACUUGAACUUCCCCGAGUGCUAGGUUGAACUUAUGCCAGAAGUGUGCAAAUGGGGCUUGCGAUAUACCAUUGCAAAUCUAUGGACACCCUAAGAAGAUCCUAAUAUGAUUUUUUGUGAAAAUGUUCAUGGUUUAAAAGUAGUUUUCAAAACUAUUUUUGUUCAUACCAAAAAACAUGAAUCGUAUUUUCAAGCCUAUUUCUAAAAGGUUUAUCAAAAUGAUGCAAAUAAGGUGGAGGUGGAGAGACUUUGCAAAUACGCUAAUUUCAUACGUUGAAAGUUCUCCCAAAUUCCCUACGGUUAAAGAGGAAUUAAAAAAAAUGGCUGAAUUUGUGAAACCGAACACCCGGGUUCGUAUUUCAGGGUUAAUUUGAAAACGGCUAGUCCGAUCGAUGCAAAUGAUAUGUUGUUCGAAAGCUUAUGAAAAUGUGCGUUGUUUCAUACAAAAUGUUUAUGCUAACUAUGAACGGUUUAAAAGUAAUUUACUAAAUGGCACAAGUUGUAUCGAGUUUGUAUUUUCGCGUCAAUUUUUCAAAGGUUUGUUGGAAUGGAACGAAUGAUAUGGCGUUGGAAAGCUUGAACAAAUGCUAAACUUUUAUAUGUCAAUUCUUUUUUAAUUCAUUACAGUUUUACGUGAGUUUUUAAAAUGGCUAAAGUGUGUUUUGGCUAUAGGUUUUACAAACUUUAUCGGAAUAAGGCAAAUAAUAUACCGUUGAAAUGCUACGGAAAUGUGAAACUUUUUCAUGUAUAUAGUUUUCUAUGAUUCCUAUCCAUUUUCAAGCAAUCUAGAGAAAAGUGAGAUCAUGCCUUCUGUAUUUAUCGCAAAAUAGAGCCUUCAAAAAUGCAUCGCGUGAAGAACUUGACCUUCUCGCCAUGUCCACUUGAACUUCACUUUGUUUUUUUUGGAAAUAUGCCCUAGAGGCAAUGAUAAAAUAGUUAUUAUUAUAUUUCCUAUUUCAAUAUAAUCGUUUAUUAUCCAUGCUAUAAUUGUAUUGAAUGAAAACAUAAAUGCAUGUGUGGAUAUAUAGACAAAACAAUGUCCCAAGUAAGCCUCUAUUUGACUAGCCUGUUGAUCAAGGAUGGUUAAGGUUUUCUGACCAUAUGCAAGUGUUCUCACUUGAUGACUCGAUCACAUCAUUAGGAGAAUGAUGUGAUGGACAAGACCCAAACUAUAAACGUAGCAUGUGAUCGUAUCAUUUUGUUGCUAUUGUUUUCUGUGUGUCAAGUAUUCAUUCCUAUGACCAUGAGAUCAUGUAACUCACUGACACCGGAGGAAUACCUUGUGUGUAUCAAACGUUGCAACGUUACUGGGUGACUAUAAAGGUGCUCUACACGUAUCUCCGAAGGUGUCCGUUGAGUUAGCAUGGAUCAAGACUGGGAUUUGUCACUCCGUGUGACGGAGAGGUAUCUCGGGGCCCACUCGGUAAUACAACAUCACAUAUAAGCCUUGCAAGAAAUGUGACUCAAGUGUUAGUCACAGGAUCUUGUAUUAAGAAAACGAGUAAAGAGACUUGCCGGUAACGAGAUUGAAAUAUGUAUAGGGAUACCGACGAUCAAAUCUCGGGCAAGUAACAUACCGAAGGACAAAGGGAAUGGUAUACGAGAUUAUAUGAAUCCUUGGCAUAGAGGUUCAAUCGAUAAGAUCUUCAUAGAAUAUGUAGGAUCCAACAUGGACAUCCAGGUCCGGCUGUUGGAUAUUGACCGGGGAGUGUCUGAGGUCAUGUUUGCAUAGUUCUCGAACCCACAGGGUCUGCACACUUAAGGUUCGGUGAUGUUUCAGUAUAGUUGAGUUAUAGGUGUUGGUGACUGAAGGUUGUUUGGAGUCCCGGAUGAGACCACAGACGUCACGAGGGUUUCCGGAAUGGUCCCGAAACGAAGAUUGAUAUAUAGGAUUGUUUCAUUUAGCCUUCGGAAAGAUUUCAGGCAUUAGCGGCACUGUACCGGGAGUGACGAAUGGCUUCCGGGUCUUUACCGGGAGGGCCCACCCACCCGGGAGAGAACCCAAUAACCCAAGGGUGGCGCACCAGCCCUUAGUGGGCUGGUCAGGCCAGCCCAAGUGGGAUAUGUAGGCUAGAAGGAAAAAAUCAAAGGAAAAAAAAGAGGGAGGUGGGAAGGAAGGAGGGGACUCGUCCUUCCCAAACCGAAUUGGAGUUGGAAUCUCCUUCUCCUCUCUCGUGUGGAGCCCUAGGGGCUCCCUUGAGCCCCAACUCUAGCCCCUCCCCUCCUUCUAUAUAUACUAGAGGUUUUAGGGGUUUUGAGACACAACUUUUGCCACGUGCAACCCUAAACCUCUACUUCGUAGUUCUUCCUCUAGAUCGGUUUUCUGCGGAGCUCGGGCGGAGCCCUGCAGGAAUAAAUCAUCACCAUCACCGGCGCGCCGUCACGCUUCUGGAUAACUCAUCUACUUCCCCGUCUCUCUUGCUGGAUCAAGAAGGCGGAGAUCGCCAUCGAGCUAUACGUGUGCUGAACGCGGAGGUGCCGUCCGUUCGGCGCUAGAUCAGAACGGAUCAUGGGACGACGGUGAUUUGAAUCACAAAGCCGUUCCACUACAUGAACUGCGUUUCUUAAUGCUUCCCGCUUAGCGACCUACAAGGGUAUGUGGAUCCGAUCUCCCACUCUUAGAUGAACAUCACCAUGAUAGGUCUUCGUGUGCGUAGGAAUUUUUUUGUUUCCCAUGCAACGUUCCCCAAUAGUGGCAUCGUGUUCUAGGUUCAUGCGUAGAUGUAAUAUCGAGUAGAACACUUAAGUUUUUGUGGGCAUUGAUGUUCGAUUUGCUGCCCUCCUUAGUCUUUUAUCAAUUCGGCGGUAUUGUUGGAUUGAAGCGUCCCGGACCAACAUUACUCGUACGCUUACGAGAGACCAGUUUCAUCGACUAACAUGCAACUCGUUCCAUAACGAUGACUGGCGGGUGCUGGUUCUUCAACUUUAGUUGAAUUGGAUUUGACCGAGGCGGUCCUUGGAGAGAGGGUAAAUAGCAAUUUGCACAUCUCCAUUGUAGUUUUGCGUAAGUAAGAUGCGAUCGUACUAGAUACACAUAGCAGCCACGUAAAACAUGCAACAACAAAUUAGAGGACGUCUAACUUGUUUUUGCAGGCUAUGCAUGUGAUGUGAUAUGGCCAAAGACAGGAUGUGAUAUAUUGGAUGUAUGAUAUGAUCAUGUUGUAAUAGUUAAAUAUCCACUUGCACUUAGAUGCUACGACAACCGGCAGGAGCCAUAAGGUUGUCUUUAAACUAUCUUCUGUGUUUGCAGAUGCGUUUACUAUAUUGCUAGGUUGUAGAUUUAGUAGUAAUAGCAUAGAUAGCACGACAACAUCGAUGGCAGCACGAUGAUGGAGAUCUUGAUGAUGGAGAUCAUGGUGUGGCACCGGUGACGAUGAAGAUCAUGCCGGUGCUUUGGUGAUGGAGAUCAAGAAGCACAAGAUCAUGGACAUAUCAUGUCACUUAUGAAUUGCAUGUGAUGUUAAUCCUUUUAUGCACCUUAUCUUGCUUAGAACGACGGUAUCAUUAUAAGGUGGUCCCUCACUAAAAUUUGAAGAUAAAAUUGUGUUCUCCCCGACUAUGCGCCAUUGCGACAGUUCAUCAUUUCAAGACACCAUGUGAUGAUCGGGUGUGAUAGAUUCAACGUUCACAUACAAUGGUUGCAAAACAGUUGCACACGCGGAACACUCGGGUUAAACUUGACGAGCCUAGAGUGUGCAGACAUGGCCCCAGAAUACAUGAGACCGAAAGGUCGAGCAUGAAUCAUAUAGUUGAUAUGAUUAACAUAGAGAUGUUUAGCACUGAAACUGCAGUCAACUCACGUGAUGAUCGGACUUGUGUUAGUGAAUUUGGAUCAUCCCACACUCAAAUAACUAGAGGGAUGUCUAUUUGAGUGGGAGUUUAUUAGUAAUUUGAUUAGCUAAACUCUAAUUGUCUUGAACAUAGUCUAAGUCCACUUUGCAAUAUUUUAUGUUGUAGAUCAAUGGCUCACGCAGUAGCAACCCUGAAUUUCAAUACGUUCCUAGAGAAAGCUAAGUUGAAAGAUGAUGGUAGCAACUUUGUAGACUGGGCUCAUAAUCUCAGGCUCAUCCUGCAAGCUGGGAAAAAGAAUUAUGUCCUUGAUGCUGUGCUAGGAGAUGAACCAUCCUCAACGUCUGAUCAAGAUGUUUUGAACGCUUGGCAAGCACGUAAGGAGGACUACUCAGUAGUUCAAUUGUAGUCUUGUAUGGCUUAGAACCAGGACUUCAACGAUCUUUGAACGUCAUGGAGCAUAUGAGAUGUUCCAGGAGUUGAAGUUUAUCUUUCAGAAGAACGCCCGAAUCGAGGGGUAUGAGACCUUCAAUAAAUUCUACGCUUGCAAGAUGGAGGAGAAUUCGUCUGUCAGUGAACAUGUGCUCAAAAUGUCUGGGGUACUCAUACCGUCUAGCUGAUAUGGGAUUGAAUUCCCGCAAGAGUCUAUCACUAACAGAAUUCUUCAAUCACUGCCACCUAGCUACAAGAGCUUUGUGUUGAACUAUAACAUGCAAGGGAUGAACAAGUCACCCAGUGACUUAUUCGCGAUGCUGAAAGUCGCAGAGUCAGAACUCCCGAAAGAACAUCAAGUGUUGAUGGUGAAUAAGACCACUGGUUUCAAGAAAAGCGGCAAAGGCAAGAAGGGUAACUCCAAGAAGAGUGGAAAAGCUGUUGCUCCUUCGACGAAGAAACCCAAGGCUGGACCUAAGUCGGAAACUGAGUGCUAUUAUUGCAAGGGGAUGGGUCACUGGAAGCGCAACUGCCCCAAGUAUUUGGCUGAUAAGAAGGCGGCCAACGCCAAACCAGGUAUAUGUGAUAUACAUGUUAUUGUUGUGUACCUAACCAACUCUCGUAGUAGUGCCUCGGUAUUUGAUACUGGUUCUGUUGCUCAUAUUUGCAACUCGAAGCAGGAACCGCGGAAUAAACGAAGGCUGGAGAAGGAUGAAGUGACGAUGCGCGUGGGAAAUGGUUCCAAGGUUGAUGCAAUCGCCAUCGACACAGUCUCACUUCAGUUACCAUCAGGAUUAGUUAUCAACUUAAAUAAUUGUUAUUUAGUGCGUGCGUUAAGCAUGAACAUUAUAUCUGGAUCUUGUUUAUUACGAGACGGUUACUCAUUUAAGUCAGAGAAUAAUGGUUGUUCUAUUUAUAUGAGUAAUAUAUUUUAUGGUCAUGCACCCAAUGUGAGGGGUUUGUUCAUAUUGAAUCUUGAUUGUGAUGAUACACAUAUACAUAACAUUGAGACCAAAAGAUGUAGAGUUAACAAUGAUAGUGCCACCUUUUUGUGGCACUGUCGCUUAGGUCAUAUUGGUAUAAAGCGCAUGAAGAAACUCCAUGUUGAUGGGCUUUUGGAGUCACUUGAUUUCGAAUCACUUGACACGUGUGAACCAUGCCUCAUGGGAAAGAUGACUAAGACUCUAUUCUUCGGAACAAUGGAGCGUGCAAGUGACUUGUUGGAGAUCAUACAUACUGAUGUGUGUGGUCCAAUGGGGGUGGAGGCGCACGGCGGAUAUCGUUAUUUUCUCACUUUCACUGAUGAUUUGAGUAGGUAUGGAUAUAUCUACUUGAUGAAGCACAACUCUGAAACAUUUGAAAAGUUCAAGAAAUUUGAGAGUGAAGUUGAAAAUCAUCGUAACAAGAAGAUCAAGUUCCUACGAUCUGAUCGAGGGGGCGAAUAUCUGAGUUUCGAGUUUGGUGCUCACUUAACACAAUCUUGAAUCGUUUCACAGGUUAAACCGCCUGGAACACCACAGCGUAAUGGUGUGUCCGAACGUUGUAAUCGUACUUUGUUAGAUAUGGUGUGAUCUAUGAUAUCUCUUACCGAUUUGCCAUUAUCGUUUUGGGGUUAUGCAUUAGAGACAGCUGCAUUCACUUCAAAUAGGGCACCAUCAAAAUCCGUUGAGACGACACCAUAUGAGCUAUGGCAUGGCAAGAGGCCAAAGUUAUCGCUUCUUAAAGUUUGGGGAUGCGAUGCUUAUUUCAAAAAGCUUCAACCCGAAAAGCUGGAACCUGAUAAACGUAUCUAUAAUUUUUGAUGGUUUCACGCUGUUAUCUUGCCUUCUUUGUAUGUUUUAUGUACCUUUUUAUAUCUUUUUGGGACUAACUUAUUAAUUCAGUGCCAAGUGCCAGUUCCUGUUUUUCCCGUGUUUUUGACUCUUUUCAGAUCUGAUUUUGGAACGGAGUCCAAACGGAAGAAAAACCCCGAAAUGAUAUUUUCCCGAACGGGAGAAGUCCAGGGGGCUUUUGGGCCAAGCCAGGUGGGCUCCAAGGAGCUCACAAGCCCCCACUCCGCCACCAGGGGAGGCGGCGGUGGGCAGGCUUGUGGCCUCCCUGGCUGCCCCCUGACCUAGGUCUUUGGCCUAUAAAUUCCCAAAUAUUCCGCAAAAAAUCACGGGAGCCUCGAAAAUACUUUUCCACCGCUGCAAGCUUCCGUUUCCGCGAGAUCUCAUCUGGAGACCCUUCCCGGCACCCUGUCGGAGGGGACUUUGGAGUUGGAGGGCUUAUUCAUCAUCAUCAUCACCCCUCCAAUGACUCGUGAGUAGUUCACUUCACACCUACGGGUCCGUAGUUAGUAGCUAGAUGUCUUCUUCUCUCUCUUGGAUCUUCUAUACAAAGUUCUCCAUGAUCUUCAUGGAGAUCUAUCCGAUGUAAUCUUCUUUGGCGGAGUGUUUGUCGAGAUCCGAUGAAUUGUGGACUUGUGAUCAGAUUAUCUAUGAUAUAUAUUUGAGUCUUUGCUGAUUUCUUAUAUGCAUGAUUUGAUAUCCUUGUAAGUCUCUCCGAGUCUUGGGUUUUGUUUGGCCAACUAGAUCUAUGAUUCUUGCAAUGGGAGAAGUGCUUGGUUUUGGGUUCUGCCAUGUGGUGACCUUUCCCAGUGACAGUAGGGGCAACAAGGCACACAUCAAGCAGUUGCCAUCAAGGGUAAAAAGAUGGGGUUUUUAUCAUUGGUUUGAGAUUAUCCCUCUACAUCAUGUCAUCUUGCUUAAGGCAUUACUCUGUUCUUAUGGACUUAAUACACUAGAUGCAUGCUGGAUAGCGGUCGACGUGUGGAGUAAUAGUAGUAGAUGCAGAAAGUAUCGGUCUACAUGUUUCAGACGUGAUGCCUAUAGAAAUAAUCAUUGCAUAGAUAUCGUCAUGACUCUACACAGUUCUAUCAAUUGCUCGACAGUUAUUUGUUCACCCACCGUCUACUUGCUUUCAUGAGAGAAGCCACUAGUAAACACUACGGCCCCCGGGUCUAUUCACAUCCAUCGUUUACAUCUCCGCUUUUACCUUGCUUUGAUACUUUGUUGCUUUCAGUUCUCACUUGGCAAACAAUCUAUAAGGGAUUGACAAACCCUCCAUAGCGCUGGGUGCAAGCUUUUGUGUUUGUGCAGGAUCUUGAGAUACUCUUCCGCCGGAUUGAUACCUUGGUUCUCAAACUAAGGGAAAUACUUACCAUCGCUAUGCUACAUCACCCUUUCCGCUUCGAGGGAACACCAACGCAAGGCUCCAAGGCCACGGGGGAAAUCCUUUGCAUACUUGCCUAGGAAGUCCCUUAAGGCAUAGCCGUAGCUGAAGGAUUCCUGGUGCCGUCGACACAACUAUUUCUGGCGCCGUUGCAAGGGAUACACAGCAAAUAUCAGAAGUAUUUCUGGCGCCGUUGCCGGGGAGGAGAAAUCAAGAUCUAUCCAAGUAGGUCUCACAAACUCUUCUCUUGCAUUUACUUUUGUUGCCAGUUGCCUCUCGUUUUCCUCUCCCCCACUUCACAUUUGCCUUUCUCCUUUGACUUUUUUGUUUGCUAUUUUUGUUCGCCCUUUUCUCUCGCUUGCUUUAUGUUCACUUGUGUGUCAUGUGCCUUCAAAAUGCUUGCAUCUUCGCUUGCUGAAAAUCUAUUGAUAUGGAUCCUCAUCCACUAGCUAGUCUCUUUAAGAGACCCACUAUUGUGGAACGAAUUGCUAGUGAGUUGAGGGCAAUUGACUUUUUCUAUGGAGUUUUGCUUAAGAUGCGUGAAUCUGAAAAUUGCGAGGAAGAAAUUCAUGAAGUGAUUCACGAGGGCUCAUUGGAUGAAAAGCAUGAUUGCAAUGGUUUCACUACAAAUUCUAUUAGUGACAAUCAUGCUAAAAUUAUGCAAAACCCUAAGCUUGAGGAUGCUAGUCUUGCUAUGACCACUACUUGUAGCAAAGAUCAUGAUUGGGGUGAGGAUUUUUCUUCUGAUCUUGAAAAUUUGUUCAAGCCUCAAGAUGAAUAUGAUAUUUGCAAUAUUAUUGAAAGUGGGUUUGGAGAAGUCAUGACUUUAGAUGAUAAUCCCACUAUUUUUGAAGAGCGUCAACUUUGCAUGCAUGUGGAUCAUGAAAAGAAUAUCCUAUGGGAUAGCUAUAUUGUUGAAUUUGAAUAUGAUCCCACAUGUAAUUGCUAUGAGGGAGGAAAAUAUUUUGGUAGAAACUUUCAUGUUACCAAAUCACCUCUCGUGAUGUUGAGAUUGCUCUUGUCUCUUUCUUCUUCCUUGCAUAUGGCAGCUAUUGGUUGUCUUGACAAUUUGUUUUGCUAUAAAAUGCCUAUGCAUAGGAAGUAUGUUAGACUUAUAUGUGAUUUUCACAUGCUUUAUGAUGCUCUCGUUGUGCUUCAAUUCUUGUCUUUUGUGAGAGCAUCAUUGAAUGCCUAGCUAAGGGCGUUAAACAAAAACGCUUGUUGGGAGGCAAUUCAACGAAUCUAUCCUUUUUCUUUCUGUUUUGUGUUUUUCACACUUUCAUAAUUCUGUUAUGAUUGUGUUUUUGUGUUUCUUUUUGCGUUUGUGCCAAGCAAAACCGUUAUGAUUAGUCUUGAGGAUGAUCGUUUGGUCAUGUUGGAAAAGACAAAAACUUUCUGCUCACGAAAAGAAUUUUCAUUUUUUUUCUGUAAGUGUUUUUGAGUUUAUUCUUUUUGCUGCUGAUUUCUACGCUAAUUCUUCAGACUGUCGUAAGUUUUCAGAAGUUUUGAUGUACCAUAGGUAUACGAAACAUACAGAUUUAUAUAGACUGGUCUGCUGUUAACAGAUUCUGUUUUUGUUGUGUUGGUUGCUUAUUUUGAUGAAACUAUGGAUAGUAUCAGGGGGUAUUAGCCAUGGAAGAUUGAAAGUACAGUAACCCAACAUCAGCACAAGUAGAAUUUAAGUUUGCUACAGUACCUAAGGAAGUGGUGGUUUGCUUUCUUGUACUAAUGUUAUCACGAGUUUCUGUUUAAGUUUUGUGUUGUGAAGUUUUCAAGUUUUGGGUGAAGUUCUUAUGGACAAAAAGAUAAAGAGUGGCAAGAGCUCAAGCUUGGGGAUGCCCAAGGCACCUCAAGAGACUCAAGUAUGCCGUAAAAGCCUAAGCUUGGGGAUGCCCCGGGAAGGCAUCCCCUCGCUCGUCUUCAAUCCAUCGGUAACGUUACUUGGGGCUAUAUUUUUAUUCACCGCAUGUUAUGUGUUUUUUCUUGGAGCGUCUUGUAUCGUAGGAGUCUUUUAUUUUUGUUGUGUCACAAUCAUCCUUGCUGCACACCUAGAUAGAGAUACAUGCACACACCGUGAUUUUGUCGAGCUUCACUUAUAUCUUUUGGUAGACAAUUCAGCUCACAUGUGCUUCACUUAUAUCUUUUGAGCUAGAUACUUUUUCUCUAUGUGCUUCACUUAUAUAUUUUAGAGCACAGCGGUGCGUGGCUUGGUAGUUGAUCUAUGCUUUGAAAGUAGUCUCAAAAGGGGUAGUUAUCCAAAGGGAUACGAAAACUUCCACCCUCAUGUGCAUUGAAUAGUUAGAGAAGUUUGAUUCAUCUCAAUUAGUUUUGAGUUGUGGUUAUGGUAAUAUUGAAGUCAUGCUUGUAAGGUAUUGUGGAUCUAGGAAUACUUGUGUUGAAGUUAGUGAUUCCCGUAGCAUGCACGUAUGGUGAACCGCUAUGUGAUGAAGUCUGAGCAUGAUUAGUAUAUUGGUUUUCAUCCUUUGCCUGGCGGUCGGGAUCACGCGAUGGUUUAUACCUACCAACCAUUCCCCUAGGAGUAUGCGUUGAAUGCUUUGUUUCGAUUACUAAUAAAACUUUUGCAACAAGUAUAUGAGUUCUUCAUGACUAAUGUUGAGUCCAUGGUUUAGAUGCACUUUCACCUUCCACCAUCAUUAUCUUCUUAGUGCCAUGCAACUUCCGUCGGUGCACAAAACCCACCAUUAGCCUCCCUCAAAACAGCCACCAUACCUACCUACUAUGGCUAUUUCAAAGUCAUUCCGAGAUAUAUUGCCAUGAAACUACCACCAUGAUAUGUGCCACCACGUCUACAUUGCCAUUACAUGAUCGUAAGAUAGAUAGCAUGCUGUUUCCAUUGAUGUCUAUGCCAUGCUAGAUCAUUGCCAUGGUACACUACCGAAGGCAUUCCAUAUAGAGUCAUAGUUGCUCUAAGUUUUGAGUUGAAAGUGUGAUUCAUUAUUGGAGCAUUGUCCCAUGUGAGGAAAUAAAAGAGGCCAAAGAAGCCCAUAAAAAAAAGAGGCCAAAGAGCCCGCCAAAAUAAAAAAAAUGAGAGAAAAAGAGAGAAGGGACAAUGCUACCACUUUUUCCACACUUGUGCAUAUUGAGCACCAUAAUCUUCAUGAUUGAGAGUCUCUCGUUUUGUCACCACCAUAUAGCUAGUGGGAAAUUCUCAUUAUAUAACUUGGCUUGUAUAUUCCAAUGAUAGGCUUCCUCAAAAUUGCCUUAGGUCUUCGUGAGCAAGCAAGUUGGAUGCACACCCACUAGUUUUCUUUAAGAGCUUUCACAUACUUGUAGCUCUAGUGCAUCAUUUGUAUGGCAAUCCCUACUCAUUCACAUUGGUAUCUAUUGAUGAGCAUCUCCACAGCUCAUUUAUAUGCCUAGUUAAUGUGACUAUCUUCUCCUUUUUGUCUUGCAACCUCCACCACAUUUCACCCAUCUAUAGUGCUAUAACCAUGUCUCACGCUCAUGUAUUGCGUGAGAGUUGAAAAUGUUUGAGAAAGUAAAGGUGUGAAACAAUUACUUGGCCAAUACCGGGGAUGUGCAUGAUUUAAAUUCGUUGUGCAAUGAUGAUAGAGCAUAGACAGACUAUAUGCUUUUGUAGGGAUAAGUUUCUUUUGGCCUUGUUAUUUUGAAAGUUCAUGAUUACUUUGCUAGUUUGCUUGAAUUAUUAUUGUUUCCACGUCAAUAGCAAACUAUUGUUUUGAAUCUAAUGGAUCUGAACAUUCACGUCACAUAAGAGGAAUUACAAAGGACACCUAUGCUAGGUAGCAUGAAAGCAUCAAAAAUUCAUUCUUAUCACUUCCCUACUCGAGGACGAGCAUGAGUUAAGCUUGGGGAUGCUUGAUACGUCUCAAACGUAUCUGUAAUUUUUGAUGGUUUCACGCUGUUAUCUUGCCUUCUUUGUAUGUUUUAUGUACCUUUUUAUAUCUUUUUGGGACUAACUUAUUAAUUAAGUGCCAAGUGCCAGUUCCUGUUUUUUCCGUGUUUUUGACUCUUUUCAGAUCUGAUUUUGGAACGGAAUCCAAACGGAAGAAAAACCCCGAAAUGAUUUUUUCCCGAACGGAAGAAGUCCAGGGGGCUUUUGGGCCAAGCCAGGUGGGCUCCAGGGAGCCCACAAGACCCCACUCCGCCACCAGGGGGACACGGCGGUGGGCAGGCUUGUGGCCUCCCUGGCCGCCCCCUGACCUAGGUCUUUGGCCUAUAAAUUCCCAAAUAUUCCGCAAAAAAUCAGGGGAGCCUCGAAAAUACUUUUCUGCCGCCGCAAGCUUCCGUUUCCGCGAGAUCUCAUCUGGAGACCCUUCCCGGCACCCUACCGGAGGGGACUUUGGAGUUGGAGGGCUUCUUCAUCAUCAUCGUCGCCCCUCCAAUGACUCGUGAGUAGUUCACUUCAGACCUACGGGUCCGUAGUUAGUAGCUAGAUGGCUUCUUCUCUCUCUUGGAUCUUCAAUACAAAGUUCUUCAUGAUCUUCAUGGAUAUCUAUUCGAUGUAAUAUUUUUUGGCGGUGUGUUUGUCGAGAUCCGAUGAAUUGUGGACUUGUGAUCAGAUUAUCUAUGAUAUAUAUUUGAGUCUUUGCUGAUUUCUUAUAUGCAUGAUUUGAUAUCCUUGUAACUCUCUCCGAGUCUUGUGUUUUGUUUGGCCAACUAGAUCUAUGAUUCUUGCAAUGGGAGAAGUGCUUGGUUUUGGGUUCUGCCAUGUGGUGACCUUUCCCAGUGACAGUAGGGGCAGCAAGGGACACAUCAAGCAGUUGCCAUCAAGGGUAAAAAGAUGGGGUUUUUAUCAUUGGUUUGAGAUUAUCCCUCUACAUCAUGUCAUCUUGCUUAAGGCGUUACUCUGUUCUUAUGGACUUAAUACACUAGAUGCAUGUGUGGAUAGCGGUCGACGUGUGGAGUAAUAGUAGUAGAUGCAGAAAGUAUCGGUCUACUUGUUUCGUACGUGAUGCCUAUAGAAAUAAUCAUUGCAUAGAUAUCGUCAGGACUCUACACAGUUCUAUCAAUUGCUCGACAGUAAUUUGUUCACCCACGUCUACUUGCUUUCAUGAGAGAAGCCACUAGUAAACACUACGGCCCCCGGGUCUAUUCACAUCCAUCGUUUACAUCUCCGCUUUUACCUUGCUUUGUGACUUUGUUUCUUUCAGUUCUCACUUGGCAAACAAUCUAUAAGGGAUUGACAACCCCUUCAUAGCGUUGGGUGCAAGCUUUUGUGUUUGUGCAGGAUCUUGAGAUACUCUUCCGCCGGAUUGAUACCUUGGUUCUCAAACUGAGGGAAAUACUUACCGUCGCUGUGCUACAUCACCAUUUCCGCUUAGAGGGAACACCACCGCAAGGCUCAAAGGCCACGGGGGAAAUCCUUUGCAUACUUGCCUAGGAAGUCCCUUAAGGCGUAGCCGUAGCUGAAGGAUUCCUGGUGCCGUCUACACAACUAUUUCUGGCGCCUUUGCAAGGGAUACACAGCAAACAUCAGAACCCAAAGCGGAAAAGUGCGUCUUCAUAGGUUACCCAAAAGAGACAGUUGGGUACACAUUCUAUCUCAGAUCCGAGGGCAAAGUGUUUGUUGCUAAGAACGUAGCUUUUCUUGAGAAGGAGUUUCUCUCGAAAGAAUUGAGUGGGAGGAAGAUCGAACUUGAUGAGGUUGUGGAACCUCUGCUCCCUGUAGAUGGUGGCAUAUGGCAGAGAGAAAUUUGUGUUGAGGCAACACCGGUUGAGGAGGAAGCUA
Molecule: long non-coding RNA, 22081 nt
Filed under: Hordeum vulgare
Lineage: Eukaryota; Viridiplantae; Streptophyta; Magnoliopsida; Poales; Poaceae
Description: long non-coding RNA (HVUL_LNC001049)
Source: RNAcentral